UCCAUCGUGAGGUGGGAUCCGAAGGAAGCUGGAGGCAAACCCACGGCCCGAUGAACAAGAACCUCAUACGAGGCUACGCCGUUCGGAUGAGCUGGCAAGACACAGCGAAAUCCAAAGGCUGCCAAAGGGCGGCGGGUCAACGCGCUUACCCGGGGAGGCCUGCCGGA
RNAcentral lists this non-coding RNA (167 nucleotides) under Kyrpidia spormannii. Lineage: Bacteria; Bacillati; Bacillota; Bacilli; Caryophanales; Alicyclobacillaceae. The record is from RNAcentral.